Molecule: ribosomal RNA, 642 nt
Filed under: Triticum aestivum (bread wheat)
Lineage: Eukaryota; Viridiplantae; Streptophyta; Magnoliopsida; Poales; Poaceae
Description: partial small subunit ribosomal RNA
Source: RNAcentral
AUGGAAUUUUUGUGGUUUGCAUUUGCUGUCCUCACCCAGUGCUCUGUUUUUGCAUCUUUUGGUGGGCUCCGCGAUCCGUAUAGUUGUGGCUUGCUCUCAAAGAUCACUAGUGCACUUGCGAACCGGCUUUUCUUGACUGUAUCCAUUGCAAAGGCUGGAAGCAUUGCAUCCUUGAAGUUCUUCUGUGACAAUUGCUGCAGUUUACAAGCAGAACACAAAAUAAUGAAGAUAAAGAAACCACCAAACAUCCUGGCAAUUCAUCUGAAGCACUUCAAGUACAACAAUUUGUCUUCGGGUGGUGAGCACAAUAUCCUGUUUUGGCGGUUCUUUCAGAAUGGUUUUCAAAAAGUAUUCCCUGCUGCUAUAUCAUCAAUCGAGCUGCAACUAAGGGGUAAACUCUCAGGCCAUCCGAGUAGCAUUGCAGAGAAUGAUAUGUGCAAUCAUGACACCAUGUGGUGCAUGGAUGAUAUUUUUCCGAGGCUUAAGAGAGGUUGCCUUGAUAAUCAAUGCAUGGAGCACGCACAUUCAAAAUUUGACGCUCUUGUCCUGAACGACACAAAACUGGAAUUUGUCGGUACAUCCCGUUGGGGAGCUUGUUUCUUUGAAGUUGAUUCAAGGUGGAGUUCCCUUUCUUGGAAGUAA